AUGGCCCACAUAUCAGAUAUUAAACUGAUAAGAACAGAUACUACACUUGAUCUUAGCCAAAAGGCCGAGAAAGGUAUGCUUCUCUCCGUGGCCCUGGGUCUGCUUAUAUAG
RNAcentral lists this ribosomal RNA (111 nucleotides) under Triticum aestivum (bread wheat). Its description in RNAcentral is "partial small subunit ribosomal RNA". The record is from RNAcentral. Lineage: Eukaryota; Viridiplantae; Streptophyta; Magnoliopsida; Poales; Poaceae.